AUUGAACGCUGGCGGCAUGCUUUACACAUGCAAGUCGAACGGUAACAGGCCGCAAGGUGCUGACGAGUGGCGAACGGGUGAGUAAUGCAUCGGAACGUGCCCAGUCGUGGGGGAUAACGCAGCGAAAGCUGCGCUAAUACCGCAUACGAUCUCUGGAUGAAAGCGGGGGACCGAAAGGCCUCGCGCGAUUGGAGCGGCCGAUGUCAGAUUAGGUAGUUGGUGGGGUAAAGGCCCACCAAGCCAACGAUCUGUAGCUGGUCUGAGAGGACGACCAGCCACACUGGGGCGGAGACACGGGCCAGACUCCUACGGGAGGCAGCAGUGGGGAAUUGUGGACAAUGGGCGCAAGCCUGAUCCAGCAAUGCCGCGUGCAGGAAGAAGGCCUUCGGGUUGUAAACUGCUUUUGUACGGAACGAAACGGUCCGGGUUAAUACCCUGGGCUAAUGACGGUACCGUAAGAAUAAGCACCGGCUAACUACGUGCCAGCCGCCGCGGUAA
RNAcentral lists this ribosomal RNA (498 nucleotides) under uncultured bacterium. Its description in RNAcentral is "partial 16S ribosomal RNA". It matches the Rfam family "Bacterial small subunit ribosomal RNA", at positions 29 to 523 of the family's 1533-position model. The record is from RNAcentral.